CGGUAAUACGGAGGGUCCAAGCGUUAUCCGGAAUCAUUGGGUUUAAAGGGUCCGUAGGCGGGGUAAUAAGUCAGUGGUGAAAGUCUGCAGCUUAACUGUAGAAUUGCCAUUGAUACUGUUGUCCUUGAAUUAUUAUGAAGUGGUUGGAAUGAGUAGUGUAGCGGUGAAAUGCAUAGAUAUUACUCAGAACACCUAUUGCGAAGGCAGAUCACUAAUAAUAUAUUGACGCUGAGGGACGAAAGCGUAGGUAGCGAACAGGAUUAGAUACCCUGGUAGUCUACGCCGUAAACGAUGGUUACUAGCUGUCCGGCCAAAUUGAUGGCUGGGUGGUUAAGCGAAAGUGAUAAGUAACCCACCUGGGGAGUACGUUCGCAAGAAUGAAACUCAAAGGAAUUGACGGGGGCCCGCACAAGCGGUGGAGCAUGUGGUUUAAUUCGAUGAUACGCGAGGAACCUUACCAGGGCUUAAAUGCAGUCUGACAGGUCUGGAAACAGACUUUUCUUCGGACAGAUUGCAAGGUGCUGCAUGGUUGUCGUCAGCUCGUGCCGUGAGGUGUCAGGUUAAGUCCUAUAACGAGCGCAACCCCUGUGGUUAGUUGCCAGCGAGUCAUGUCGGGAACUCUAGCCAGACUGCCGGUGCAAACCGCGAGGAAGGUGGGGAUGACGUCAAAUCAUCUCCGGCCCUUACGUCCUGGGCCACGCCCGUGCUUCCAUGGUAGGGACCGAAGGCAACUUCCCCCCGAGGGGAUGCGAAUCUUCAAACCCUAUCACAGUUCGGAUCGCAGUCUGCAACUCGACUGCGGGAAAGCUGGAAUCGCUAGUAAUCGCAUAUCAGCCAUGAUGCGGUGAAUACGUUCCCGGG
Molecule: ribosomal RNA, 861 nt
Filed under: uncultured bacterium
Lineage: Bacteria
Description: bacterial SSU rRNA
Rfam family: Bacterial small subunit ribosomal RNA
Source: RNAcentral